Molecule: ribosomal RNA, 830 nt
Filed under: uncultured bacterium
Lineage: Bacteria
Description: bacterial SSU rRNA
Rfam family: Bacterial small subunit ribosomal RNA
Source: RNAcentral
AAAGCGAGCGGCGGAUGGGUGAGUAACACGUGGGGAACCUGCCCCUAAGUCUGGGAUACCAUUUGGAAACAGGUGCUAAUACCGGAUAAUAAAGCAGAUCGCAUGAUCAGCUUUUGAAAGGCGGCGUAAGCUGUCGCUAAGGGAUGGCCCCGCGGUGCAUUAGCUAGUUGGUAAGGUAACGGCUUACCAAGGCGACGAUGCAUAGCCGAGUUGAGAGACUGAUCGGCCACAUUGGGACUGAGACACGGCCCAAACUCCUACGGGAGGCAGCAGUAGGGAAUCUUCCACAAUGGACGCAAGUCUGAUGGAGCAACGCCGCGUGAGUGAAGAAGGUUUUCGGAUCGUAAAGCUCUGUUGUUGGUGAAGAAGGAUAGAGGUAGUAACUGGCCUUUAUUUGACGGUAAUCAACCAGAAAGUCACGGCUAACUACGUGCCAGCAGCCGCGGUAAUACGUAGGUGGCAAGCGUUGUCCGGAUUUAUUGGGCGUAAAGCGAGCGCAGGCGGAAAAAUAAGUCUAAUGUGAAAGCCCUCGGCUUAACCGAGGAACUGCAUCGGAAACUGUUUUUCUUGAGUGCAGAAGAGGAGAGUGGAACUCCAUGUGUAGCGGUGGAAUGCGUAGAUAUAUGGAAGAACACCAGUGGCGAAGGCGGCUCUCUGGUCUGCAACUGACGCUGAGGCUCGAAAGCAUGGGUAGCGAACAGGAUUAGAUACCCUGGUAGUCCAUGCCGUAAACGAUGAGUGCUAAGUGUUGGGGAGGUUUCCGCCUCUCAGUGCUGCAGCUAACGCAUUAAGCACUCCGCCUGGGGGAGUACGACCGCAAGGUUGAAACU